UUUGUUUGUUUGUUUGUUUUUGGAGACAGAGUUUUGCUCUUGUUGCCCAAGCUGGAGUGCAAUGGUGCAAUCUUGGCUCACUGCAACUUCCACCUCCUGGGUUCAAGCAAUUCUCCUGCCUCAGCUUCCUGAGCAGCUGGGAUGACAGGCGCGUGCCUCCAUGCCUGACUAGUUUUUUGUAUUUUUAGCAGAAACAGGGCUUCACCAUGUUAGCCAGGCUGGUCUUGAACUCCUGACCUCAGGUGAUCUGCCCGCCUCAGCCUCCCAAAGUGCUGGGAUUACAGGCGUGAGCCACCGCGCCCGGCCAAGUAUUUUUAAAUGUACUGUCCUUGUGGAGGAUUUCUUUGUCAUAGAGCUCCUUCCUCUAGUGACCCUUUGUUAAUCUGGGACAGUGUAAACUCAGCCAUAAACUGUCAACUCCUGGAGAGGGGCUAGAGAUCAUUGGUCUUUUUAUACCCAAGGCGUAGCCUGGAGGCCGGCCCCAGUGCAGAUUCUCAAUGAAUGUGUGUUUGAUUCAUAAUCAUGUAUGUACUAUCUCUCUUCUAAAGGAACACCUUUAAUCAAGCAAAGGAAAUAUAGCUGUAUAAGUGGAGUAUCUAGUCGGAUCCAUCAUCCCGUAUAGAAUUUUGUGUGUUUAUUCCUCUUUCAGUAGCUGAAUUGAUGCAAAUGAUAAACACUAAGGUCGCUGAACGGACAUAAGAACACAGCGUUGAAUGAAGUGUUAUUCGAGGACCUGCUAUAUAUAAGAUUGACACUUGGGAUAGCAGUGCUUAGUCAUGUAUGAAGGACAGAAAGGAGCCCAUUGUGCCUGAAAAGUAGGAAAUAUGCCAGACAAUGGAAGAUGUAGUUGGAAAAGUAGCAACGCCUGGAUUACAGGGGGCAUGUCACCCUGAGAGAAUGCACUGAAGGAGGUGAAGCUGAAAUGAAAGCCUGGAGACCAAUGUGAAGUUGAUGCAUUAAUACAAACAAGAGAACAGUGGCCUGGACUAAACAAGUAGCAGUAAAGAAGGGAGAAGUGGCCGGGCACGGUGGCUCAAGCCUGUAAUCCC
Gorilla gorilla gorilla (western lowland gorilla) is the source of this 1049-nucleotide long non-coding RNA. RefSeq lists it as uncharacterized. The record is from RefSeq and is a predicted model, not a curated record. The transcript has 3 exons. NCBI's taxonomy places the organism in Eukaryota, Metazoa, Chordata, Mammalia, Primates, Hominidae.